This 64-nucleotide transfer RNA is filed under the name Corbicula fluminea. RNAcentral's name for it is "tRNA-Glu". Lineage: Eukaryota; Metazoa; Mollusca; Bivalvia; Venerida; Cyrenidae. The record is from RNAcentral. RNAcentral also lists the same sequence under 1 other name.
ACCUUUGUGGUGUAAUGAACACGUUAACUUUUCGCGUUAAAGAUAGAUUUUAAUCUUAAGGGUU